Long non-coding RNA from Stegostoma tigrinum, 3294 nucleotides. RefSeq lists it as uncharacterized. The record is from RefSeq and is a predicted model, not a curated record. The transcript is spliced from 3 exons. NCBI's taxonomy places the organism in Eukaryota, Metazoa, Chordata, Chondrichthyes, Orectolobiformes, Stegostomatidae.
GAGAGCACUGCGCAGGCGUCGUGCUGUUGAGUUCUUUGGAAUGUAUCUGCUGAGAGUGACGGCGACGAGGGAAGACUCUCUUUGGUCACAUUCGCAGUCGGUGAAGAUUGAAAGUGCAAAGGGAGAGAUGGCAACAACUGUGGCCUGGGAGGGGUUUCUAAACAUCUCUGGAAGGCAAUGAAAACUAAAAAUGAAUCGACAGGUGCUGUAUUUCCAGAUCCAGGCCUUUGCCCCGGAAGAAGGUUCCAGUUUAGUGGUUGCCAUCUUGACUGGGAUUCGCGCACGCGCGACCGAACGUCAUAUCUUUGAGUGGAAAGAACUUUCCAUCACAGAAAUGUUACAGUGUGGAAGGAAACCUUUUCACCAGCCACGUCUGCACUGGCACUUCACAAAAGCAACCUGACUGACUGAGAAGCUGGAAUUAUUUGCUCUGAAUUUCCAUCAAUGGACUGAUUGUGAUACUGACAUUGAGGUUGCUGACUAGCUCGCCGAGCUGGCUUGUUUUUGUUUUCAAGAGGUUUGAGAGAAGCUGAUUUGUGAAUGGCAAAUGCAAACUAAACAUCACCAGUCAGGAUCUGAUUAUCAUCAGCUUUUCAAUGUGGAAAUAGAAAUGCUUGCCUGUUCUGUCCAUUGGGGAAAACCUCAUCCUGAGACACAGAAACACCCAAAUGAGAUUGUUGCAGUGCACUGACUGUGUAAAGAGCUUUAACCAAUUACGAUGCCUGAAUAACCAUUCCAACAUUCUCAGCCCAGAUAAAUUACACUUUUUUUAUGUAAAAGAGGCUUUAGAAAAUCAUCCAACAUGGAGAGACACAAAGAUACCAGCACCAUGGACAAACCAUGGAAAUGUGAGUACUGUGGGAAGGGAUUCAGUUGGCCAUCCCAGCUGGAAAUACAUGCACGCACUCACACGGGGGACAGGCCAUUUAGGUGCUCCAAGUGUGGAAGAGGAUUCGGAGAGUCAUCCAAAUUGCUUGCUCACUAGCGGGUUCACACUAAUAACCAACCUUUUAAAUGUCCAUACUGUGGAAACUGCUAAUAAUGUUCUGGGGACCUGAUGUCCCAUAAAUGCAUUCACACCAAUUAGAAACCUUUCAGGUGCUCUCACUGCAGGACUGGAUUCAGAAAAUCAUCUGAAGGUUCUGUACAUCAGCGCACCAAUUCUUCCGGAGAUUAAUGCACUGCCUAUAACCACACAAAGAUGCGCACCCUUAGUUUCUGAGUUGGAUCGUUUCACGUAGAAAGUUGGCCAUGAUCCAAUGUGUUCGCAACGUUCAUCAAGCAUCUGUCUGUCCAUCGGUGUAAUGAGGGUUCUUUGAAAUCUUGAUCAGAAUCUUGCGUCGAGUAUUAGUUUAAAAUACUCUUCAAUAAUCCCACUGGAUAAACCUGUGCUUGCUGUCUAUAGUUCUUUAUUGUUCCUGUUCUUUUCAUUCGAUGUAAAUUCAUAGGAAGGCAAGCUGUAAGGAAUGAUGGGAGGGAAAAUCAUGUUCCCUUUCAUUGUCCCAAUUAAAUCUACAUUUCAGUAAAGUUUAGGCGGUAGGCUCUAAUUCUCGAUUUGGACACAGCUGUAAUGUCGACUGUUGAAGAAUCUCUAAACUGACAAGAAUUGGAUUCCCCCUGCAAUUUCCGUGGGUGGGGCAGAUGCAACAACAAACUGCAAAACCACAAAGAAAAACAGAAGUUGCUGGAAAAGCUCAGCAAGUCUGGCAGUGCUGUUCCCAGGAAUCAGUAUUGCGGCCAAAAACUGAAAUUGCUGUAAACGGUCAGCAGAUAUGGCAGCAUAUGGGAAGAGUAAUCAAAGUUCAGGUUUCCGGUCUGGUGGCCCUUCCUUGGAGCUGAUCUUGGCUAGGUUAUUGUCAGUUUUUAUUCAGAAGGUAGGGUAGGUGGAAUGUUUAAAGAGUAAGCAAUGGGUGGGGGUAGAGUCCAAAACAAUUGGGUAGAUAAAGGAGUGGGUAACGGUCUGGCUAGGCAGGUGAUAAGCUAUUAACGGAGACUGCUGGUGGUGAACAACGAGUUGUGUGUAAUCGUAUUGGGAUCAAUUCUUUUCUGAACACACACUAAUGAAGCGCACUUGUUUCCAGAGAGGACAAUUUCAAAAUCCUAAAUGAGCCUAAACUGAUAAUGAACGCUACAACUCAGGAAGUACAGAAACUGGCCUUUCACAGCAAAGUCCGUUUCACUGAACGUCGCCCUCUGUCAUUUUCCUGUGCUUGAUAUUUCAAGAAUGACAGGCCUAUGUUAAUACAACCUGGUUUGGGUGAGACUUGAUCUCACAACCUCGGCAAUUCUUACCCCGCUCUCUGCGUGUCUUAUUGCAAUAUUAACUGAUCCCUUACAGUAUCACUAUAGCAUACAUUAAGAGGAAAUAUUGGGGAUAACAGUCACUGGUUUGACUCGGACUCGAGCCGAAGCUCAUGCUGCCACACCGCAAAGAAUGGGCCACUACACUGUCACAGCGCCACAUCAUGAGACGAGGUGGAGCAGGAAAUAAGUGCCAUGAUAGAUGGUUUGUAAGGAGCACCAUCAGACCCUCAACAGGAAUACUCACCAAACAGCAAACUGUGAUGAAGGAACACUGAAUGAGGGCACGGAGCUACUCUGUGGCUCCAGUGAUGCAAUCGAUGAGCACGCGGUCCUUCUAUGACAGUACAGAGGCGCGAGAAAUGCCGAGGCUGUGAACUCCAACCUCACCCGGGGCAGCUUUUAUUUACACGUACCGGUAGCACAAGGAUAAAGAGCAUUUUUCAGCACAAUAGCCUUUUAUUGGAAAAGAUUGGUUUCUGGGUUUGAGAAAGGUCUGGUCCUGGGGAAAUAUCUCAGCUGUCAACGAAAACCCUGCAAAUAUUCAACUCGCGCAGAAGCAUCUAUGGAGGUAGAAAUGAAGAUGGCGUUAGAGCGCCACGACCUUUCUCAUAUGGCUGGCCCUGAACGUGCUUAAAAUUCAGGGCAAAGCUGUUUUGCUCAUUGUACUUUGCACCCACACAUACAGUUCAUUGCAAUAGUCGAAAAUGAAUUAGAGUUAUCUAAUUUUUAAACUUGCCCCGCAUUUAUUUCAGCUUAAAGAAAGCACUGCUGAUAAGAAGAAGGUUAAACUGCAAAACUAACGUGCUUUGUUCCUGGGUUUCUUGGCUGGAGAUUACUGAGUACUAAAUGGAUUAUACUUCUUGGUAGUGAUUACUGUUGCAUUUUUAAGGCACUUGAUUAAGGCUGGAAAUGGAUCUCCGAGCAAACUGUUCAUUAGGGAAUAUCUUUCCUGUACAAUUUUAAAUAAAGUUUGAUCAGUUGCAUUCAGAA